AGAGUUUGAUCCUGGCUCAGGAUGAACGCUGGCGGCGUGCUUAACACAUGCAAGUCGAACGGAGUUGUACGAACAGAAGCCUUCGGGUGGAAGAUUGUAUAACUUAGUGGCGGACGGGUGAGUAACACGUGAGCAACCUGCCUUUCACAGUGGAAUAACAACAGGAAACUGUUGCUAAUACCGCAUAAUAUCUAGAUAAGGCAUCUUAUUUAGAUCAAAGAUUUAUCGGUGAAAGAUGGGCUCGCGUCCGAUUAGCUAGUUGGUGGGGUAAAGGCCUACCAAGGCGACGAUCGGUAGCCGGACUGAGAGGUUGAACGGCCACAUUGGGACUGAGACACGGCCCAGACUCCUACGGGAGGCAGCAGUGGGGAAUAUUGGGCAAUGGGCGCAAGCCUGACCCAGCAACGCCGCGUGAAGGAUGAAGGUCUUCGGAUUGUAAACUUCUUUGGUCAGGGACGAAACAAAUGACGGUACCUGAAGAACAAGCCACGGCUAACUACGUGCCAGCAGCCGCGGUAAUACGUAGGUGGCGAGCGUUAUCCGGAUUUACUGGGUGUAAAGGGCGUGUAGGCGGUUUUUUAAGAUGGAUGUGAAAUCCCCAGGCUCAACCUGGGAGGGUCAUCCAUAACUGGAGAACUUGAGUGUCGGAGAGGAAAGCGGAAUUCCUAGUGUAGCGGUAAAAUGCGUAGAUAUUAGGAGGAACACCAGUGGCGAAGGCGGCUUUCUGGACGAUAACUGACGCUAAGGCGCGAAAGCGUGGGGAGCAAACAGGAUUAGAUACCCUGGUAGUCCACGCUGUAAACGAUGAAUACUAGGUGUAGGGGGUAUCGACCCCUCCUGUGCCGUCGUUAACACAAUAAGUAUUCCACCUGGGGAGUACGGUCGCAAGACUGAAACUCAAAGGAAUUGACGGGGGCCCGCACAAGCAGUGGAGUAUGUGGUUUAAUUCGACGCAACGCGAAGAACCUUACCAAGGCUUGACAUCCUCUGACAGCUCUAGAGAUAGAGU
RNAcentral lists this ribosomal RNA (1009 nucleotides) under oral metagenome. RNAcentral describes it as "bacterial SSU rRNA". It matches the Rfam family "Bacterial small subunit ribosomal RNA", at positions 8 to 1012 of the family's 1533-position model. The record is from RNAcentral.